GCCUGGGUGGCUCAAUCAGUUGAGCAUCUGACUUCGGCUCAGGACAUGAUCCCAUGAUUUGUGAGUUCGAGCCCCACAUCAGGCU
This 85-nucleotide transfer RNA is filed under the name Felis catus (domestic cat). It matches the Rfam family "tRNA". From Rfam's summary of the family: Transfer RNA (tRNA) molecules are approximately 80 nucleotides in length. RNAcentral also lists the same sequence under 1 other name. The record is from Rfam by way of RNAcentral. Lineage: Eukaryota; Metazoa; Chordata; Mammalia; Carnivora; Felidae.